UACGUAGGGUGCGAGCGUUGUCCGGAAUUACUGGGCGUAAAGAGCUCGUAGGUGGUUUGUCGCGUUGUCCGUGAAAACUCACAACUCAAUUGUGGGCGUGCGGGCGAUACGGGCAGACUGGAGUACUGCAGGGGAGACUGGAAUUCCUGGUGUAGCGGUGGAAUGCGCAGAUAUCAGGAGGAACACCGGGGGCGAAGGCGGGUCUCUGGGCAGUAACUGACGCGGAGGCGCGAAAGCGUGGGGAGUAAACAGG
Molecule: ribosomal RNA, 253 nt
Filed under: uncultured bacterium
Lineage: Bacteria
Description: partial 16S ribosomal RNA
Rfam family: Bacterial small subunit ribosomal RNA
Source: RNAcentral